Molecule: long non-coding RNA, 1189 nt
Filed under: Sorghum bicolor (sorghum)
Lineage: Eukaryota; Viridiplantae; Streptophyta; Magnoliopsida; Poales; Poaceae
Description: long non-coding RNA (SBIC_LNC006885)
Source: RNAcentral
ACCCACUAAGUAAGUGUUCUCCUCUAUUUAAGUCCUAUCCGUAUACUUUAAAUUCCGUACUCUAACCAUAAGGUUAGAUUGGUAGUUAUCUCUUUAAAUUCAUUUGUAAUUUAUUUAGUAGCAUAAUUUUGUUUACACACUAAAAGAUAUAAAAACAACAAAAAUAUUUACUGCAUUACUCAUGGCAUCACAAGCCCCAUGUGGAUACCCUAUGGUAUUUUCCGAAGGAACAUCCACUGUGGUGGCAUAAAAUAAAAAUGACAAAAAAUAUAGCAUUUAAAUUCCUGUAUCAUAAAUCGAAAAUUGAAAAAAAUAAGAGAAAAUUGAAAUCCUGUUUAAAUUAGACAACAUGAAAGCUAGCUCUUAAAGGUGAUCAAUUACUCUUUGGCUGACCGCUGACCGAGUAACAAAUUCGACCCUCGAGUUUUGGUUUUCUUUUCGGAGUAAUUAUGCGGAAUCAACAUUAUGACAAGGAGAGAGUCUAUUAGUAGCACCCACCAAGAGCAUUGUCGGUUAGCUCACUCUGAAGAUCAUCAACACUAACUAUUGUAAACAUUGGGAGGAGCAUCCCCUAGUUAUCAGGUAACUUGUAACAUCCAAAAAUUUUGUCCUUUGAAAUAGAUGAAUAUUAUUUGAUUAAAUAAACUUUGUGAGCAUUAAAAUAUAGGAAAAAUAAAUAAAUUUUGGGAAAUUAAAAUUUAUUAUGAAAUUAGAAACACGUUGAUGCAUUCAUGCUGCAGCACUUAUCUUUGUGAUGUGUGAAUUUUUGCAAAACAAAGAUUUGUUCAAAAUUCAAAUUGUAAAUGCUUUUGAAAAUAAGUUUAAAAAAAUAAUAAAAAGGAAAUCCAUCUCUCCCCCUCCCCCCUCACUCUCGGCAUGCAAGGCCUAGCCCGCCAGCACCCCCUUCCCCCUCCACUCUCUCUCUAGCGACUGACAUGUGGGGCCUGCUUGUCAUCCCUGUCCUCCCGCAACCGCCCGCACGUAGCGCCUGGGAGUAGCAACCGCACCCCGCGCCCAACUCCCACUCAUUCUCCCCACGAUCCCCCGCGCCUUGGCCUUAUUUGUAGAGCACCCGAGCCCGAUCCACCUCCCCCCCCCGCUCACAUUUCGCUCUCUCCCCGCGCCCUCUCUCGCUUGAAGUGCCUAGAAACUGCCAUUAGAGUCAUCGCGAACCACUGUGCUCCUCGCC